This is an unclassified non-coding RNA of Chrysemys picta bellii (western painted turtle), 170 nucleotides long. NCBI's taxonomy places the organism in Eukaryota, Metazoa, Chordata, Testudines, Emydidae. The record is from Ensembl.
AUGAGCAUUGCCAGACAGUAGUGCUCUAUGCACAGCAAGGGUGGAGCAGAGAUAGCAGUGGUGCACGCUUUCCACACUGCCCUGUUAGUGUGGUCCAACCUGACCUGGAAGAACCACUCCAGGGAGAAGGGGAUAGUUCAGUCUCCAUGUCCACUCACUACAUGACUUCU